RNA transcript from Octodon degus (degu), 1060 nucleotides. It is a transcript of the gene named nucleolysin TIA-1 pseudogene, with no coding region annotated. The record is from RefSeq and is a predicted model, not a curated record. NCBI's taxonomy places the organism in Eukaryota, Metazoa, Chordata, Mammalia, Rodentia, Octodontidae. The transcript has a single exon.
UGUACAAACUGCAUAAUGAUUAUGGAUACAGCUGGAAAUGGUCCAUGCUGUUUCGUGGAGUUUUGUGUACAUCACCAUGCAGCUGCAACACUAGCUGCUAUGAAUGGGCAGAAGAAAAACGGGUAAAGAAGUCAAAGUGAGUUGGGCAACAACCCCCAGCAGUCAAAAGAAAGAUAUAAGCAGUAGUACCGUUGUCAGCACACAGCAUUCACAAGAUCAUUUCCAUGUCUUUGUUGGUGAUCUCAGUCCAGAAAUUACAACUGAAGAUAUAAAAGCAGCUUUUGCUCCAUUUGGAAGACUAUCAGAUGCUCGAGUGGUAAAAUAUAUGGCAACUGGAAAGUCUAAGGAACAUGGCUUUGUCUCCUUUUACAACAAAUGGGAUGCUGAAAACACCAUUCAACAGACAGUGGCCAGUGGCUUAGUAGAAGACAAAUCAGAACUAACUGAGCAACCCAAAGACCUCCAGCUCCAAGGAGUGCAUAUGAGUCAAACACUAAACAGUUGUCAUAUGAAGUUGUGAGUCAGUCUAUUCCAAGCAACUGUACCGUGUACUCUGGUGGUGUUACUUUCAGGCUAACAGAACAGCUAAUGUGUCAGACUUUUCACCGUUUGGACAAAUAAUAGAAAUUCAAGUCUUUCUAGAUAAAGGAUAUUCAUUUGUUCGGUUCAAUUCCCAUGAAAGUACAGCACAUGCAGUUGUUUCUGUUAAUGGUACUACAAUGAAGAUCAUGUUGUGAAGUGCUAUUGAGGCAAAGAAACUCUUGAUAUGAAAAAUCCUGUGCAACAAUAGAAUCAAACUGGAUAUCCACAACCUUAUGGCCAGUGGGGCCAGUGGCAUGGAAAUGCACAACAGAUUGACCAGUAUAUGCCUAAUGGUUGGCAUGUACCUGCAUAUGCAAUGUAUGGGCAAGCAUGGAACCAGAAGAGAUUUAAUUAGAUACAGUCUUCUGCACCUUGGAUGGGACCAAAUUAUAGAGUACAGCCACCUCAGGGCCAGAAUGGCAGCAUGCUGCUUAAUGAGCCUGUGGGGUACUGAGUGGCAGAGUAUGAAACCCAGUAA